Molecule: long non-coding RNA, 248 nt
Organism: Branchiostoma belcheri (Belcher's lancelet)
Lineage: Eukaryota; Metazoa; Chordata; Leptocardii; Amphioxiformes; Branchiostomatidae
Exons: 3
Source: RefSeq, a predicted model, not a curated record
GGUAUUUUUAUCAUGGGAAAUUUGUUUCUCUGGUGUCAUUGUGUUUACACACUAGGAGAAUUGAGACUGUUGGAGAUCCAAGGUACUGUGCACCCUGGAGAAGUCCCACAGGGGUGUGGCCAGCCCUGUUCAUCAUCAGAACACCCUGCCAAGAGGCUGUAAACAAGACGCGAUGACACCAAAGACAACAGGGAAAUGGCUUCUCAACUCUUCCCCACAACCUGCGAGGAUUAGAGGCAUAACAGGUG